AGGGGACCCGAGUUGCGUGCCUUGCUGAUCCCAAGGUCUGCUGGUUUUGGCUCUGGCCCAUUCUUGCUCUUCCCUGUUCUGCUUCUCAGAUUCGGUUUGCUCUCACCACUUUUACUGUGCUUUGCACCAUCCUGCCUGUACUUUUGGACUUCAGCUCACGGAAAAGGAGAAGAAGUGAACGGGCAAGUUGAUUCACUUCAGCCAACUGCUAUCCUUCCUGAAUACAGGCAGCAAAGGAACAAGGAUGACCAGAAGGGUGGAGAAUCCACCUAAGCAGCAUCUCAGAUCAGCUCCAUCUUCAGAGGAGAGCCAAGGGAGUCAUUAGGAAAGCGGAACCUUGGCUGUGGCUCACCGUGGCAGCCCCGACUGGAAGGAACAUCCCCAGCAGACUGAAAAGUGAUUCAGAAGAGUGGUGGUCUUGUCAACGUGAGUGGGCUUUAAGGCCCCCAGUCUCAGCUUUCAUAGCCAUAAAAGUAAAUUUGAGGCUGGAGUAGAGGAGGCUGGAGAGAGAAUGAGACAGCUAUACCAGCCCAUUUCAAAGGGACAGGGUCAUGAAAAAAGUAAAUUGAAUUGUGCCUUGUCAGAGCCAGAGUGGAUGCUCAAUAAAUUCCUGAUUUCAGUAUAGAAGCA
This 630-nucleotide long non-coding RNA is filed under the name Phascolarctos cinereus (koala). RNAcentral's name for it is "lncRNA (ENSPCIG00000013579.2)". Lineage: Eukaryota; Metazoa; Chordata; Mammalia; Diprotodontia; Phascolarctidae. The record is from RNAcentral.